Transfer RNA from Cavia porcellus (domestic guinea pig), 72 nucleotides. It matches the Rfam family "tRNA". From Rfam's summary of the family: Transfer RNA (tRNA) molecules are approximately 80 nucleotides in length. The record is from Rfam. NCBI's taxonomy places the organism in Eukaryota, Metazoa, Chordata, Mammalia, Rodentia, Caviidae.
GAGGAUGUGGCUCAGUAGUAGAGCUCUUGCUUUGCAUGCAGAGGCCCCUGGGUUCAAUCCCCAGCACCACCA